RNAcentral lists this ribosomal RNA (698 nucleotides) under Kudoa thyrsites. Its description in RNAcentral is "LSU rRNA". It matches the Rfam family "Eukaryotic large subunit ribosomal RNA", at positions 68 to 644 of the family's 3401-position model. Lineage: Eukaryota; Metazoa; Cnidaria; Myxozoa; Multivalvulida; Kudoidae. The record is from RNAcentral.
ACUGUGAUUCCCUUAGUAACUGCGAGUGAAGCGGGAUAAGCCCAUCGUUUAAUCUUCCCGGACUGUGGACGGGACGACAUGUAACGGUAUGGAUAGGUUCUCUAUCAACUCUGGCUGGUCAAAGUCCUCCGGAUUGAGGUGCCAAAGAGGGUGACAGCCCCGUGUGUGACUGGAAAGAGUUGAGUAUGUGGCCGAUUCCGAGAGUCGGGUUGUUUGGGACUGCAACCUAAAGCAGGUGGUAAACUCCACCCAAGGCUAAAUAUUGACACGAAACCGAUAGCGAAUAAGUACUGUGAAGGAAAGUUGAAAAGAACUCUGAAAAGAGAGUUAAAAGUACGUGAAACCGCUAACGGGGAAGCGGAAGGCAGUGUCGAGAUUGGGUGAGUGAGUUGUUUCAAUUUGAUUUUAUUAYUAAAUUUAAAUUGGGGCGACUAGCUUUGCUCGAUGCGUCAGGACUAUUGGUGUGCGGUGGCUCAAUUGUCGGCAUGGCUUCCACGACACUCGCACACUUGUGUGUGGGCUCGUGGUUGCGGCAGGCGAUCCGCCUCGUGCGCUGAUAUGGAUGUGGUGAGGCGUUGGUGAUGUAGUGUCGGUUGGUGUUGUGUGGUGCUCCGCGUAGUCACAGUGUGGCUACGUGUGGAGAAGUCAUGUGAUUGUUCAACAACCAGUGCCAGUGCCUGACGUGAUACCUAACCUUC